CUUCCACUUUCGCAGGGCUCGGCAUCCCUGGGGCAUCAACUCCUUAUCCAUCUGAGGCUGCUGCUCUGCAUUGGGGCAGUAAGCCCUCUCCCUCCUCGGGAUCAUGGUCCUUUGCCCCAGGCCCU
This is a non-coding RNA of Equus caballus (horse), 125 nucleotides long. The record is from Rfam. NCBI's taxonomy places the organism in Eukaryota, Metazoa, Chordata, Mammalia, Perissodactyla, Equidae.